AGGACGAACGCUGGCGGCGUGCUUAACACAUGCAAGUCGAGCGAGGCCCUUCCUUCGGGAAGGUGCCCUAGCGGCGAACGGGUGAGUAACACGUGGGCAACCUGCCCCUAGCACUGGGAUAACUCCGGGAAACCGGGGCUAAUACCAGAUAUGACCUUCUUGGGCAUCCUCGAAGGUGUAAAGGAUUCUGGCUAGGGAUGGGCCCGCGGCCUAUCAGCUUGUUGGUGGGGUAAUGGCCUACCAAGGCGACGACGGGUAGCCGGCCUGAGAGGGUGACGGGCCAACGACUGGGACUGAGACACGGCCCAGACUCCUACGGGAGGCAGCAGUGGGGAAUCUUGCACAAUGGGCGAAAGCCUGAUGCAGCGACGCCGCGUGAGGGAUGAAUGCCUUCGGGUUGUAAACCUCUUUCAGCAGGGACGAAGCGAAAGUGACGGUACCUGCAGAAGAAGCACCGGCCAACUACGUGCCAGCAGCCGCGGU
This 483-nucleotide ribosomal RNA is filed under the name uncultured bacterium. RNAcentral describes it as "SSU rRNA". It matches the Rfam family "Bacterial small subunit ribosomal RNA", at positions 26 to 521 of the family's 1533-position model. The record is from RNAcentral.